RNAcentral lists this ribosomal RNA (1346 nucleotides) under uncultured bacterium. RNAcentral's name for it is "partial 16S ribosomal RNA". It matches the Rfam family "Bacterial small subunit ribosomal RNA", at positions 28 to 1381 of the family's 1533-position model. The record is from RNAcentral.
GACGAACGCUGGCGGCGUGCUUAACACAUGCAAGUCGAACGGAAAGGCCCUGCUUUUGUGGGGUGCUCGAGUGGCGAACGGGUGAGUAACACGUGAGUAACCUGCCCUUGACUUUGGGAUAACUUCAGGAAACUGGGGCUAAUACCGGAUAGGAGCUCCUGCUGCAUGGUGGGGGUUGGAAAGUUUCGGCGGUUGGGGAUGGACUCGCGGCUUAUCAGCUUGUUGGUGGGGUAGUGGCUUACCAAGGCUUUGACGGGUAGCCGGCCUGAGAGGGUGACCGGCCACAUUGGGACUGAGAUACGGCCCAGACUCCUACGGGAGGCAGCAGUGGGGAAUAUUGCACAAUGGGCGGAAGCCUGAUGCAGCAACGCCGCGUGCGGGAUGACGGCCUUCGGGUUGUAAACCGCUUUCGCCUGUGACGAAGCGUGAGUGACGGUAAUGGGUAAAGAAGCACCGGCUAACUACGUGCCAGCAGCCGCGGUGAUACGUAGGGUGCGAGCGUUGUCCGGAUUUAUUGGGCGUAAAGGGCUCGUAGGUGGUUGAUCGCGUCGGAAGUGUAAUCUUGGGGCUUAACCCUGAGCGUGCUUUCGAUACGGGUUGACUUGAGGAAGGUAGGGGAGAAUGGAAUUCCUGGUGGAGCGGUGGAAUGCGCAGAUAUCAGGAGGAACACCAGUGGCGAAGGCGGUUCUCUGGGCCUUUCCUGACGCUGAGGAGCGAAAGCGUGGGGAGCGAACAGGCUUAGAUACCCUGGUAGUCCACGCUGUAAACGGUGGGUACUAGGUGUGGGGUCCAUUCCACGGGUUCCGUGCCGUAGCUAACGCUUUAAGUACCCCGCCUGGGGAGUACGGCCGCAAGGCUAAAACUCAAAGGAAUUGACGGGGCCCCGCACAAGCGGCGGAGCAUGCGGAUUAAUUCGAUGCAACGCGUAGAACCUUACCUGGGUUUGACAUGGAUCGGGAGUGCUCAGAGAUGGGUGUGCCUCUUUUGGGGUCGGUUCACAGGUGGUGCAUGGCUGUCGUCAGCUCGUGUCGUGAGAUGUUGGGUUAAGUCCCGCAACGAGCGCAACCCUUGUUCACUGCUGCCAGCACGUUAUGGUGGGGACUCAGUGGAGACCGCCGGGGUCAACUCGGAGGAAGGUGGGGAUGACGUCAAGUCAUCAUGCCCUUUAUGUCCAGGGCUUCACGCAUGCUACAAUGGCUGGUACAGAGAGUGGCGAGCCUGUGAGGGUGAGCGAAUCUCGGAAAGCCGGUCUCAGUUCGGAUUGGGGUCUGCAACUCGACCUCAUGAAGUCGGAGUCGCUAGUAAUCGCAGAUCAGCAACGCUGCGGUGAAUAAAUUCCCGGGGCU